RNAcentral lists this non-coding RNA (48 nucleotides) under Phenylobacterium zucineum. RNAcentral describes it as "Guanidine-II sequence". It matches the Rfam family "Guanidine-II riboswitch aptamer (mini-ykkC)". From Rfam's summary of the family: Simpler in structure and has fewer highly conserved nucleotide positions than the ykkC-yxkD leader. Despite this each of its two stem-loop structures directly bind free guanidine. The record is from RNAcentral. RNAcentral also lists the same sequence under 1 other name. Lineage: Bacteria; Pseudomonadati; Pseudomonadota; Alphaproteobacteria; Caulobacterales; Caulobacteraceae.
CGCCGGGGACGACCCCGGCGCGUCUCCUUUCCCGGGAGGACGACCUCC